UGGGGAAUAUUGGACAAUGGGCGAAAGCCUGAUCCAGCCAUGCCGCGUGUGUGAAGAAGGUCUUCGGAUUGUAAAGCACUUUAAGUUGGGAGGAAGGGCAGUAAGCGAAUACCUUGCUGUUUUGACGUUACCGACAGAAUAAGCACCGGCUAACUCUGUGCCAGCAGCCGCGGUAAUACAGAGGGUGCGAGCGUUAAUCGGAUUUACUGGGCGUAAAGCGUGCGUAGGCGGCUAAUUGAGUCGGAUGUGAAAUCCCCGAGCUUAACUUGGGAAUUGCAUUCGAUACUGGUUAGCUAGAGUGUGGGAGAGGAUGGUAGAAUUCCAGGUGUAGCGGUGAAAUGCGUAGAGAUCUGGAGGAAUACCGAUGGCGAAGGCAGCCAUCUGGCCUAACACUGACGCUGAGGUACGAAAGCAUGGGGAGCAAACAGG
RNAcentral lists this ribosomal RNA (429 nucleotides) under Pseudomonadota bacterium. RNAcentral's name for it is "Proteobacteria bacterium partial 16S ribosomal RNA". It matches the Rfam family "Bacterial small subunit ribosomal RNA", at positions 355 to 776 of the family's 1533-position model. The record is from RNAcentral. Lineage: Bacteria; Pseudomonadati; Pseudomonadota.